GGGCGAGUGGCGGAAUUGGCAUACGCGCAUGGCUUAGGACCAUGUUCCCGCAAGGGAUUGGAGGUUCAAGUCCUCUCUCGCCCA
This 84-nucleotide transfer RNA is filed under the name Candidatus Buchananbacteria bacterium RIFCSPLOWO2_02_FULL_46_11b. RNAcentral describes it as "tRNA-Leu". It matches the Rfam family "tRNA". From Rfam's summary of the family: Transfer RNA (tRNA) molecules are approximately 80 nucleotides in length. Their secondary structure includes four short double-helical elements and three loops (D, anti-codon, and T loops). Lineage: Bacteria; Candidatus Buchananiibacteriota. The record is from RNAcentral.